UGAGGAAUAUUGGUCAAUGGACGGAAGUCUGAACCAGCCAAGUAGCGUGCAGGAUGACGGCCCUAUGGGUUGUAAACUGCUUUUGUAUGGGGAUAAAGUUAGGGACGUGUCCCUAUUUGCAGGUACCAUACGAAUAAGGACCGGCUAAUUCCGUGCCAGCAGCCGCGGUAAUACGGAAGGUCCAGGCGUUAUCCGGAUUUAUUGGGUUUAAAGGGAGCGUAGGCCGUGGAUUAAGCGUGUUGUGAAAUGUAGACGCUCAACGUCUGAAUUGCAGCGCGAACUGGUUCACUUGAGUAUGCACAACGUAGGCGGAAUUCGUCGUGUAGCGGUGAAAUGCUUAGAUAUGACGAAGAACUCCGAUUGCGAAGGCAGCUUACGGGAGCACAACUGACGCUGAAGCUCGAAGGUGCGGGUAUCAAACAGGAUUAGAUACCCUGGUAGUCCGCACAGUAAACGAUGGAUGCCCGUUGUUAGUUCACUUAAGAAUUAGCGACCAAGCGAAAGCAUUAAGCAUCCCACCUGGGGAGUACGCCGGCAACGGUG
RNAcentral lists this ribosomal RNA (543 nucleotides) under uncultured bacterium. Its description in RNAcentral is "bacterial SSU rRNA". It matches the Rfam family "Bacterial small subunit ribosomal RNA", at positions 355 to 896 of the family's 1533-position model. The record is from RNAcentral.